This 468-nucleotide ribosomal RNA is filed under the name uncultured bacterium. RNAcentral's name for it is "partial 16S ribosomal RNA". It matches the Rfam family "Bacterial small subunit ribosomal RNA", at positions 28 to 507 of the family's 1533-position model. The record is from RNAcentral.
GACGAACGCUGGCGGCGUGCUUAACACAUGCAAGUCGAACGGAAAGGCCCUGCUUUUGUGGGGUGCUCGAGUGGCGAACGGGUGAGUAACACGUGAGUAACCUGCCCUUGACUUUGGGAUAACUUCAGGAAACUGGGGCUAAUACCGGAUAGGAGCUCCUGCUGCAUGGUGGGGGUUGGAAAGUUUCGGCGGUUGGGGAUGGACUCGCGGCUUAUCAGUUUGUUGGUGGGGUAGUGGCUUACCAAGGCUUUGACGGGUAGCCGGCCUGAGAGGGUGACCGGCCACAUUGGGACUGAGGUACGGCCCAGACUCCUACGGGAGGCAGCAGUGGGGAAUAUUGCACAAUGGGCGGAAGCCUGAUGCAGCAACGCCGCGUGCGGGAUGACGGCCUUCGGGUUGUAAACCGCUUUCGCCUGUGACGAAGCGUGAGUGACGGUAAUGGGUAAAGAAGCACCGGCUAACUACGUG